Molecule: ribosomal RNA, 252 nt
Filed under: uncultured bacterium
Lineage: Bacteria
Description: partial 16S ribosomal RNA
Rfam family: Bacterial small subunit ribosomal RNA
Source: RNAcentral
UACGGGGGGGCAAGCGUUGUUCGGAAUUACUGGGCGUAAAGGGCUCGUAGGCGGCCAACUAAGUCGGAUGUGAAAUCCCCAGGCUCAACUUGGGAACUGCAUCCGAUACUGGAUGGCUUGAAUUCGGGAGAGGGAUGCAGAAUUCCAGGUGUAGCGGUGAAAUGCGUAGAUAUCGGGAGGAAUACCUAUGGCGAAAGCAGGCUACUGGACCGUCACUGACUCUGAUCUGCGAAAGCUAGGGGAGCAAACAGG